Molecule: ribosomal RNA, 448 nt
Filed under: uncultured bacterium
Lineage: Bacteria
Description: partial 16S ribosomal RNA
Rfam family: Bacterial small subunit ribosomal RNA
Source: RNAcentral
CCCAGACUCCUACGGGAGGCAGCAGUGGGGGAUAUUGCACAAUGGGGGGAACCCUGAUGCAGCGACGCCGCGUGGGUGAAGGAGCGUUUCGGCGCGUAAAGCCCUAUCGGCAGGGAAGGAGGAGGACGGUACCUGACUAAGAAGCCCCGGCUAACUACGUGCCAGCAGCCGCGGUAAUACGUAGGGGGCAAGCGUUAUCCGGAUUUACUGGGUGUAAAGGGGGCGCAGACGGCAGCGCAAGCCAGGAGUGAAAGCCCGGGGCCCAACCCCGGGACUGCUCUUGGAACUGCGCGGCUGGAGUGCAGGAGGGGCAAGCGGAAUUCCUGGUGUAGCGGUGAAAUGCGUAGAUAUCAGGAGGAACACCGGUGGCGAAGGCGGCCUGCUGGACUGCGACUGACGUUGAGGCCCGAAAGCGUGGGGAGCAAACAGGAUUAGAUACCCUAGAACA